UGUGCACCAGCUGGUGGGUUGGA
RNAcentral lists this microRNA (23 nucleotides) under Gallus gallus (chicken). RNAcentral describes it as "gga-miR-12213-5p". Lineage: Eukaryota; Metazoa; Chordata; Aves; Galliformes; Phasianidae. The record is from miRBase by way of RNAcentral.